RNAcentral lists this ribosomal RNA (200 nucleotides) under uncultured bacterium. RNAcentral's name for it is "partial 16S ribosomal RNA". It matches the Rfam family "Bacterial small subunit ribosomal RNA", at positions 30 to 231 of the family's 1533-position model. The record is from RNAcentral.
AUUGAACGCUGGCGGCAGGCCUAACACAUGCAAGUCGAGCGCGAAAGUUCUUCGGAAUGAGUAAAGCGGCGGACGGGUGAGUAAUACAUGGGAAUCUGCCUGGUAGUGGGGGACAACGUUUCGAAAGGAACGCUAAUACCGCAUACGCCCGUACGGGGGGAAAGGGGGGGAUCGCAAGACCUCUCGCUAUCAGAUGACGC